This 759-nucleotide ribosomal RNA is filed under the name Ruegeria sp. AU178_Ted3_R2A. RNAcentral's name for it is "bacterial SSU rRNA". It matches the Rfam family "Bacterial small subunit ribosomal RNA", at positions 65 to 873 of the family's 1533-position model. The record is from RNAcentral. Lineage: Bacteria; Pseudomonadati; Pseudomonadota; Alphaproteobacteria; Rhodobacterales; Roseobacteraceae.
AGCGCACCUUCGGGUGAGCGGCGGACGGGUUAGUAACGCGUGGGAACAUACCCUUUGGUACGGAAUAGCCUCUGGAAACGGAGAGUAAUACCGUAUGAGCCCUUCGGGGGAAAGAUUUAUCGCCAAAGGAUUGGCCCGCGUUAGAUUAGGUAGUUGGUGGGGUAAUGGCCUACCAAGCCUACGAUCUAUAGCUGGUUUUAGAGGAUGAUCAGCAACACUGGGACUGAGACACGGCCCAGACUCCUACGGGAGGCAGCAGUGGGGAAUCUUGGACAAUGGGGGCAACCCUGAUCCAGCCAUGCCGCGUGAGUGAUGAAGGCCUUAGGGUCGUAAAGCUCUUUCGCCUGUGAAGAUAAUGACGGUAGCAGGUAAAGAAACCCCGGCUAACUCCGUGCCAGCAGCCGCGGUAAUACGGAGGGGGUUAGCGUUGUUCGGAAUUACUGGGCGUAAAGCGCACGUAGGCGGACUGGAAAGUUGGGGGUGAAAUCCCAGGGCUCAACCCUGGAACUGCCUCCAAAACUAUCAGUCUAGAGUUCGAGAGAGGUGAGUGGAAUUCCGAGUGUAGAGGUGAAAUUCGUAGAUAUUCGGAGGAACACCAGUGGCGAAGGCGGCUCACUGGCUCGAUACUGACGCUGAGGUGCGAAAGUGUGGGGAGCAAACAGGAUUAGAUACCCUGGUAGUCCACACCGUACACGAUGAAUGCCAGUCGUCGGGUAGCAUGCUAUUCGGUGACACACCUAACGGAUUAAGCAUUCCGCC